This 64-nucleotide transfer RNA is filed under the name Patella vulgata (common limpet). Its description in RNAcentral is "tRNA-Phe". The record is from RNAcentral. Lineage: Eukaryota; Metazoa; Mollusca; Gastropoda; Patellidae.
UAAGAGAUGGCUGAGUAGUAAGCACUGGAGUGAAGGCCCAGACACGGUUUGUAACCUCUCUUUG